GCUUUUAUUGGGCCUAAAGCGUCCGUAGCCGGUCUGAUAAGUCUCUGGUGAAAUCCCACAGCUUAACUGUGGGAAUUGCUGGAGAUACUAUCAUGACUCGAGGUCGGGAGAGGCUGGAGGUACUCCCAGGGUAGGGGUGAAAUCCUGUAAUCCUGGGAGGACCACCUGUGGCGAAGGCGUCCAGCUGGAACGAACCUGACGGUGAGGGACGAAAGCCAGGGGCGCGAACCGGAUUAGAUACCCGGGUAGUCCUGGCCGUAAACGAUGUGGACUUGGUGUUGGGAUGGCUUCGAGCUGCCCCAGUGCCGAAGGGAAGCUGUUAAGUCCACCGCCUGGGAAGUACGGCCGCAAGGCUGAAACUUAAAGGAAUUGGCGGGGG
Molecule: ribosomal RNA, 379 nt
Filed under: uncultured Methanothermobacter sp.
Lineage: Archaea; Methanobacteriati; Methanobacteriota; Methanobacteria; Methanobacteriales; Methanobacteriaceae
Description: bacterial SSU rRNA
Rfam family: Archaeal small subunit ribosomal RNA
Source: RNAcentral